Poecilia latipinna (sailfin molly) is the source of this 170-nucleotide long non-coding RNA. RefSeq lists it as uncharacterized. NCBI's taxonomy places the organism in Eukaryota, Metazoa, Chordata, Actinopteri, Cyprinodontiformes, Poeciliidae. The transcript has 3 exons. The record is from RefSeq and is a predicted model, not a curated record.
CAACAGCAUGGCGGAGAUGCAGGCCCGGUGGGCGACAAGAGUGUUUAAAGGUUUAAUAUCCCUCCCAGCAGAGGACGUCAUGGUGAAGGAAAUUGAAACGGAAACAAUGAACCAGAAGUUUGUGUGCUCUGAGCGGAACCCCCUGCAGGUGGACGUCAUACCAUAUAGGG